CAGCAGCCGCGGUAAUACAGAGGGUGCAAGCGUUAAUCGGAUUUACUGGGCGUAAAGCGUGCGUAGGCGGCUUUUUAAGUCGGAUGUGAAAUCCCUGAGCUUAACUUAGGAAUUGCAUUCGAUACUGGGAAGCUAGAGUAUGGGAGAGGAUGGUAGAAUUCCAGGUGUAGCGGUGAAAUGCGUAGAGAUCUGGAGGAAUACCGAUGGCGAAGGCAGCCAUCUGGCCUAAUACUGACGCUGAGGUACGAAAGCAUGGGGAGCAAACAGGAUUAGAUACCCCCGUAGUCCCUGUCUCUUAUAC
This 301-nucleotide ribosomal RNA is filed under the name uncultured bacterium. RNAcentral's name for it is "partial 16S ribosomal RNA". It matches the Rfam family "Bacterial small subunit ribosomal RNA", at positions 509 to 807 of the family's 1533-position model. The record is from RNAcentral.